GAUGAACGCUGGCGGCGUGCCUAAUACAUGCAAGUCGAGCGAAUGGAUUGAGAGCUUGCUCUCAAGAAGUUAGCGGCGGACGGGUGAGUAACACGUGGGUAACCUGCCCAUAAGACUGGGAUAACUCCGGGAAACAGGGGCUAAUACCGGAUAAUAUUUUGAACUGCAUGGUUCGAAAUUGAAAGGCGGCUUCGGCUGUCACUUAUGGAUGGACCCGCGUCGCAUUAGCUAGUUGGUGAGGUAACGGCUCACCAAGGCAACGAUGCGUAGCCGACCUGAGAGGGUGAUCGGCCACACUGGGACUGAGACACGGCCCAGACUCCUACGGGAGGCAGCAGUAGGGAAUCUUCCGCAAUGGACGAAAGUCUGACGGAGCAACGCCGCGUGAGUGAUGAAGGCUUUCGGGUCGUAAAACUCUGUUGUUAGGGAAGAACAAGUGCUAGUUGAAUAAGCUGGCACCUUGACGGCACCUAACCAGAAAGCCACGGCUAACUACGUGCCAGCCGCCGCAGUAA
This 515-nucleotide ribosomal RNA is filed under the name uncultured bacterium. Its description in RNAcentral is "partial 16S ribosomal RNA". It matches the Rfam family "Bacterial small subunit ribosomal RNA", at positions 28 to 523 of the family's 1533-position model. The record is from RNAcentral.